UACGAGUGCCCCGAGCGUUAUCCGGAAUCAUUGGGCGUAAAGGGUGUGUAGGUGGUUUCGUUAGUCCUCCGUCAAAACCUCGGGCUCAACCCGAGAUCUGCGAAGGAAACGGCGAAACUGGAGGGUGCGAGGGGUGAAUGGAACUCAUGGAGUAGGGGUGAAAUCCGUUGAUAUCAUGGGGAACACCAAAAGCGAAGGCAGUUCACUGGAGCAUUCCUGACACUGAAACACGAAAGCGUGGGUAGCGAAUGGG
This 253-nucleotide ribosomal RNA is filed under the name uncultured bacterium. RNAcentral's name for it is "partial 16S ribosomal RNA". It matches the Rfam family "Bacterial small subunit ribosomal RNA", at positions 524 to 776 of the family's 1533-position model. The record is from RNAcentral.